Molecule: long non-coding RNA, 448 nt
Organism: Oncorhynchus tshawytscha (Chinook salmon)
Lineage: Eukaryota; Metazoa; Chordata; Actinopteri; Salmoniformes; Salmonidae
Source: Ensembl
GUGCGUGGACGUGCUGUGCCAGUGUGAUUUUUGAGCGCAAGCAUCCAGUUGUGGAGAUCGAGCCUGUGGAUGGACAGAUCAGUAACUCAUCAAAUGUGAUACAACAAUAUGUCUUUAUGUCCAACAAAGAAGCAGGUGCCGCUUCCAGUGAAUUGGAGCUGACCUUGGACCUAGUGCCAGUGAGGAUGGUCUUCACUGAGGCGAAUCUGCUUCGGAGACGGUUCAGAGAGAGAGAGAGAGAGAGAGAGAGAGAGAGAGAGAGAGAGAGAACCAUACUGAAGAUCCUCCUCUGUGGGGUCCUCCACUUGCUGCACCUGUUUGGGCAUGGCUGGCUUCCUUCUCUUACAUUCCACACCCAUACGACCGAUAUUGUGAACCUCCAAAAUAGGCUGCAUGGCUACACUGAUAAGCUCCAUGGAGGCAUUCGCAUGUGGUAGAGAGAAUCCCC